Molecule: long non-coding RNA, 1628 nt
Filed under: Homo sapiens (human)
Lineage: Eukaryota; Metazoa; Chordata; Mammalia; Primates; Hominidae
Description: HSALNT0352056
Source: RNAcentral
GUUACUUAAGAACUCUUUGUGUCCGUCCUUCUAAUGGCACCAAUGCCUCCCAUCAAGCCUUAAACCUCACCUAAAUUAUGUCAUUGGGCUUUUUCAUCCAUAAAUGAGCAUACCAGGUGCCAAGGGAAUCAAUAUGCCAUUUCACAUGCCUUAGACCAGUGUCCAAAGAAAGAUAAAAUGUUAUUCUAUAAAAGCUUUCUCCCAGCAUUUCUAUUCCUUUACAUUUUGUGCCAUAUACAACUAUGGUUUUUUAAUGAUCUUAUUUCUGACAGCUGUUUUUCUUCAGAACAUCAACAGCUUCUUUCCUAAAUUAGUUUUAGUAUGAGUUCCAUUUCUAAUUAGCUCAAAUUAAAGUCCUAGAGAGCAGCGAGGUAAUAUUUAAACCCUCAGGCUAAAAUUUCGGAGUAGGUGCAGAAUGUUGACUCUAAAUGAGUUUUUCCUGUGACAUAACACGCAUGAAAGCAGGAUUUCUUUCAUGUGUGAAAUGUCUUAAAUCAGACUUACCCUUUGUGAUUCUCUUUUAGCUUUAAAUGUCAUUUAAGAAGAAAAAAGAAAAGAAAAUUAAGCAUGACAUUCCCCAAUAUCCUCUGCUCACUGUGUUAUAAUCCCUAUCACUCCACAAGUGAAUUGGAGAGAGUGAAGACACAAUGAACAGAAACUUCCCUGAUGCUUCACAGAGGAAGUGUUCUCCGGGACCACACAGCCUCCACCAUGUCCAUCUACGAAGGGCUGUGGCAAGCCAUAUACACAAAGAUGCCUGUUUCCUGUCUUCUCGGUUAAAAACAAAAACAAAACACCGGAAAAAGCCAAGCUGCCAUGGGUUGCAGAGUGCCAGCCCUUAAGUAGUGUUGUUCAUGGGUAAACAGGAGACGGAUAAGGGCAAUUUCAAGAAAUAACAAACUCAAGGCAUGAAUGUGGUUAUCCAAACAUCAAGGGACUCCUUCAUUUGCAUUUGGAUAAUUGUGCAGUUAUAUGAUUUGUUACAUGGAGACCAGAUGGAAGUAAGAGAGCUCAUCCUCAACUUCCUGUACCUCUGGAAGUCUUUACACACAUGCUGGAGAGAUAGAGGAGAGUUCAUUAGCAUCAAACCACCAUGGAUUUCAUAAUCAAUUCCUAAUAUCUGAAUAGAUGCAGAAAAGUCACAGGCAUCUAGAAGUGUGGCCCAAGUUCUGUUCUUCAAUCAGCCCACCCAUUAUCCCUAUGUAUCUCGAUUUUGUUAUCUAAAAGAUCACAUGAUGGAGGAUGUAAGCAAGUAACACAGCCAAGACCCAGUUUACAGUGUCUAGUACCUAACAGACUCUUGACACGUUUCACUUGCCCUUGAGUCAGUCUUUCCAUGUCACUGAAUAUUCUUCCACAACACGAUUUUAAUGGAUAUAGUCGUCCAUUGUUUAAAUGUACCAUUAUUGACCAAUGUAAAAAUGUUCUUUUACCUCAAAUUUUUAUAUGUAAAACAAAAACAUGUUUGAGGACUAAACCCACAGUGUAGUAUAAAUUAAACUGGAUGUAGGCCAGGCAUGGUGAGUCACACCUAUAGUCCCAGCACUUUGGGAAACCAAGACAGGAGGAUGGCUUGAAGCCAGGAGCUCAAGAGCAGCCUGGGCAAUACAGCAAGACCUCAUCUCUAC